CACACACACACACACACACACACACACACACACAAAACCGACACAGAAGAGCAAUUCAGAUAAAAGGUUGAGGGGAAAAUGGGAGCACAGCACAGCUUCAAUGGCUAUUUUGAGUUUAAUUUGUUACUGUUGUUUGUUACUUUUGACAUUUGGUUUACAUUUUUCAUUCACCUUUUGGUUGUUCUGAUGACAUGCUUUGUAGUCUGGUUCCAUCCAUCCAUCCAUCUUCAACCCUCUAUACGGGGUCGGAUCGCAGGGGCAACAUCUCCAGCAGGGGACCCCAAACUUCCCUUUCCCGGGUCACGCCUACCAGCGCAGACCGGGGAAUCGGAGACGCCAGCUACGCUCCUGAGGAAGCCCAUUUUAGCCGCUUGUACCCGUGACCGCUCCAGUGAGAGUUGGAGGUCACAGACAGAAGAUGCCAUCAGGACCACAUCAUCUGCCAAAAGCAGCGAUGAGAUCCGCAACGCCCCGAACUGUAGACCCUCCUGCCCCCGACUACGCCUCGAUAUCCUGUCCGUGAAGACCACAAACAAGAUUGGUGACAAGGCGAAGGCCGCCCCCCCAGCGGAAACGCCUUCAACUUACUGCCGAGAAACCGAACACAGCUCUCGCUUGGGGCCAUCCAAUCCCUGUACGGCCAAAGCAAGGACCCCCUCACCCCGUACUCCCGCAGCACCUCCCACAUUCUCUCUCAGGGGACCCGGUCAUACGCCUUCUCCUGGUCCACAAAACACAUGUAGACUGGAUGAAGAGACUCGCAGGCCCCCUCCACGAUCCUGGAAAGAGUAAAGAGCUGGUCAGUCGUUCCAUGACCAGGAAAAAAACCGCAUUGUUCCUCUUCAAUCCUUGGUUCGACUAUCGGCCGAACCCUCCUUUCCAGCACCUCCACUAGUCUGGUUCCUACAUUUAAAAAAAAGAAAGCCCCGUUUGUGGUUUUAGACCCACAGAUUUCCCGUUUGUGUCUUCGUGCUGUGGACAGCAGCAGUUCACUUUCACACUAAACCGGUCAAAGGCUCCGCGUUCGCACGGCCGCUCGUCUUCGUAAGGCAGGAAAUUGUCUUUGGCACAUUGAUUCUUUGGUAUUUUCAUUUUCUAAUCCGUUAUGUUGUUGGGUUUGUAAGAACUCCUCUGCCAUCUAACGUCGCUGCUAAUAUCAUGUGUGUGUGUUCAAUGAAGCAUUGUUUACACACAUAUACAUCCGUGCACCAUUAAGUGAUAGUAGUGCUGAUACAACACUUUGGUUUUAUUAAUAAAUAUCAUGAACGCACCAAAACCGUGAUAAUCCUUCUCAGACUCUAUGGCGUCAGAACACUGGUUCAACGUGCCCUUAAAUAGCUGUUGAAAGGGAAUUUGUAGUUUUUAAAAUAGUUACCCCAAAUAACCCCAAAUGGAAACGGGGGGAACGGUGCCUUUGUUUGGGACGGUCCAGCGGCGGAUUAAACACAUUUGGUGCUUGAGUGAGUUUUUGGGGCAGCAGCAGGCUGUUUGAGGGAUUUAGUCUAAAUAAACCACAGUAUGUGUGAAUGAUAAUGGAGGAACAUGUGACCCAGAUGUACUACUGGGACUCACUGAUGUGUGUGUGCGUGUGUUUGGAUACACGGAUACAUCUUUAAAGAAUUUUAACUGCAACUGCAUUUGCAAAACACAUUACUUAAAAAAAAGGUGGAGGCAAGGUGGAGGUUAUGAUGCUAUCAAGCUGCACAACGUUGCGCUAGCUGGACGAGCGCACAGCGAAACUACUGCAGCGCCCUUUGGACUUUUUCUGAUUUGGUUUCCACAUUUGAAGAUGUGGAUUAUCAUCAACACGAUGUACAAUAUGUUGGGCAAUAAGGCUGGAUAUUCACUAAUCUGGGCAAAGUCGUUACAAGUGAGCUGGCAGAGCGCGGCCUGGCAGCGAGCGGCGAGGCAGACGGCGUUCUGACGCCAGCCGAGCUGCUUCACCAACAGAGACAUGCUCCGUAUCACCGAUGUUAAGACCGUCGAUUACAACGUACCAGCCAGUGUGGGAAGUAAACUAUGUAUUGAUCUAUUUGAAAUCAGUACACUGACUUCAUAAAUUACAUUUGGGCUCUAAAAUAAAUAUAUCGUGUAUGUACUGUGCUGUUUGUAAUGUGAACCACUGGUUUUAUAUUAUUUUUGAAUAUCUGAUCUCGUAUUGUUUAAACAAGGACCUUCUACCCACC
Molecule: long non-coding RNA, 2186 nt
Organism: Gasterosteus aculeatus aculeatus (three-spined stickleback)
Lineage: Eukaryota; Metazoa; Chordata; Actinopteri; Perciformes; Gasterosteidae
Source: Ensembl